AUCUCUGCAGCAGUGUCUGACAACUGCUGCAGGUAUUUAAGAGAGCUGGUCAGCAUUCAUAAUAUAGUUCCUUUUUUCCCUUUUUUAAAAUAUGUGAUCUUUGGAAUAUAUCACGCCUAUGCGGGCUGGGGACAGACUUUAUUUGUUUGAAUGUAAGUCCUUGUGGUGGUAUUGAAGUUAGCAAAGGUACUACCGCCAGCAUACCAGCUGGUUGGUUCCUUUUAUGUAUUAUUGGCAUGUGUGCAUUUGCAAAUCACUGCAAACCAAAGCUUUUCUACCCCUGUACACAGCCCAAAGUGAUAUUUAUCUAGCUUAGAGACUGUUAAUUGUUGUCCAAUUUUUAAGCUUUGCUGGACAUAACAACUUCCAUGUGCAACCCAAGAGGCUGUGCGAGCAGAAAUAUUUUUAAGGGUGCCAAUGAAACUGUGUGAUGUAAGAGUUAUGCUUAGUAGCCUCUGUGGAAUUUCAAGGGCUCACUCCUGGGUUUGCAAGGUACAUCAGUCCUUGUGGUGGUGGUGGGGGAGCAAAAUGUGCAGGUCCUGAUAGCUAACUGCAGGGGCUAGUGAGUGCUUUAUUGGGCAUUGCCUGACUCGUGUUCAGUGUUGAUGUAAAGACUUAGCCCUGUUGAUGUACCAAGGAGAUUCUAGUACAGCAGCAAAAUUUGAAAAGUGAUCCAUACCUCAGGGAAAAUCUUACAGGUUUUAAAUGAAAGGUGGAGGUGUAUAUAACAACUGAUCCAAAAUCCGACUUUAUGCAGGAGCUAGGAGAAAGAUCAUUUGGUAUGGAAAAUACUCUAUUACACACUUACAUAAAUUCAUCUGAAACUUUCAGAAAUGAAAGCCAUUGGAAGAAAUGUUCCUACUUAAAAAAGAAAUGUGUGUUUAUGCAUAAUGUGUUGGAAACUGGAAUUGGCUUUUACAUUGCAGUGCCACAUAUUUCAUUUCUUCUCAGCACAAACUUAAUAAUGCUAAAUGUGUUAGAUUCUACUUUGUAGAUGGUGGAGGCACCCCAUCAACCCAUCCCUGGCUUAAUCUCUUAAUGGAAAAACAUUCUUAUGCUAUCCAUUGAACUGACCAGAAUUGGCCUUUAGGUGAAGUAUAGAGCAAAUACUCAUGAAAACUUGGAGGAAUCUGUCACAAGAAAAAGCUACGCCUGAAAUGGUGCAGCAUUCACAAGGCAGUGACCACACUGACCUUCACACUGUGUCCUGCAGAUUGAUAUGGGAACUUCUAGGAAGAAGCUUGAUAAUGUGGACCUGCAUCAUCUGAUAGAAUGGUUUGACAAGCCUCAAGCCUGACUAGUCUUUUGUGUCCUGUACUUUGCAAUUGUACAAUUAAAUUGUACAAUUAAAGCAGAAGAAAUGGAAUCUAGAAUGCAUACAAAAGAUGGACAACAUCGGUGGGUAUGGUGCAUCAGUUAUGGUAGGCUGCUUCAGUGUGGAGGAAUAUCUGUCAGUCGUGAUUAUUCACGUGGGCAUAACCGUUCUAUUCUGGAGAUUACAAUUACAGAAAGAAAUGGAAACUUUGCGACUACCUCAAAUACGAACUUUAAAUACAGCAACGAGUUCAUAUGUAAAGACUGCCGUGCAAAACGCCCUUCUGUCCAUGGAAGUUUGGUCGCUCACUACAAUGCUAGAAGAAUUGAUUGAACCUUAAGCAGUAAAAUUAGGACACAGUUUGGCUUUGAUGGAAUGAAUCUAGGAAUUGUUCUUGUGUCCUCAUUCCCAAGGAUAAAGAAGUUCUCUGCUUCACAAGAGGCCAGCUUGCUAAAGAAAAAUAAAAGUGAUUGUGAAAUCGCAGGCUGAAAUUGGAGCUGGACCCAGAUUCUUUGUCAAAUUGUGCUCUUGAAAUGUCAGCGAUUCUUUAACAUUGCUCUGCUUCGCAGAACAUGUGGAUGGCAGCUACGGAUGCAAAAACCUCCACAGGGAGCAGCACAUUUCCCAAGACACUACCUCCAGCCAUGUUCAUGUCAGAUUUGUGAGGUCUACACGCUAGAUCUGGAAGUAGGGCUUGGAAACUUGAAAAGUUCAUUCUUAUGAUAAGGCUUUUGAUGAUAUCCUUAAAUGUUGCUGGGUGUAAGUACAAGAUGGUAUCGAGGCUUGCAUGCAGUACAGCUUGCCUAUGCUAUAAAUGUGGCUUGGCACACAUAGCAUCAUGCAGUGAUUGCCAGGGCGAUGGAUGUGGGAUCCAAAGGUGCCUUGCUUAAGCAAACAAAAAAAACUUCAAUCUGCAUCAAGCAGGGGAAGAUCAUAUCCUGAACUAUUUCCCAAUAACCCUGCCCCCUGAAACCAGAGUUGGUGUUUGGGGGGCCGCUGAGCACUGCGGCACAGAAAAGGAAGCAGAUAAUUCUUGCUCUGUGAUGGAAAACUGCUUGUAGUUCUCUGGAUCAAAGCCAUGGUUGGCUGAUCUGAUGAAACCUGACACCAGAUCGUGCAGCAUAAUAAAGUAUCACCAGUUUGUUAAUUUUGUAGAGUGAAUUUUAUGGAGAUUUCAUAAAUACUUGGAAUGAAAUAUGUAUUUCAUGUCAAAAUUUGCCCUUUGUUUAAACUAUGAUCACCACAUAUUAGCACUGGAGUUUUGGAAAGAUGAUAUAUAUAUACCUUCACCUUUCAUUUAAGUACUUCUGUACUCCCCCUCCACCACCAAAAGUUGUAUUUCUGUGGCUUCAAAGUUUGCAGCUGAAGGGAACGAGGUGAGUCUUUAGGUCAGUAUAAUAGGCCAAAGUAUUUCUUGUGCCAUAGCAAACCAGAACAUUGCAGAGUUUACGGGAGAAGUAGUCCAUUUUAUUCCAAAUAAUUCAGAACAAAACUUCUCCCUUGGCUAUCUUGGUUCGGUGUAAGUCAGACAUGCAUCCAAGUGAGCAGGACUUAAGAUUUCUAAACUGCUGGUUACUGAGAAACUUAGCAUCAAAAGCAUUUUAUUUAUCUUGCGUAUGCCAACUUUUUCUGCAUUUCUAAAAUAAGAGUACUUGACAAAACUAAUGCUAUUGGAAGUAGUUGGAGUCAGGUGAAAGGGGUCUUGUAUAGGAAGAAGGGUUAUUUUAAUAUACAUAUUUUUUAAUGGAUUUGACCUCCUCUCUCCUUAAUAAGAAAGGAAUAACUACAAAAGGUUACUGAAAUUCUCUCUGGCUAUUUGACUGUAAUGCAUUCAAACCCUGUUGGUAAAGGAUGUCUCCCUCCUGAGACCCCUCCUAGGCUGUCAGACACUGAACAAAUUCACAGACUAGUUUAAUAUCAGAGGUUGAACUACUCACAAACUCUGUUUUUAAAAAGGAUUGUCCCAGUAUUGAAUACCACCACACCCACACCCACACCCACACCCACACACCAUGGGCACAUAAUCAUGACCUAAAAUAAAAGGUUUGUGCUUUCUUUUUGGAACAGGGUAUGUAAUCUGUCUAAAUUUCACGUGGCUUGCUAUUUGUUAGUAUCACAAUUUUAAAGCUUGAUAAUGUUUGUCCAAAAGUGGAAACUUGAUUAAUUGCAACCCAAACGUGCUCAGCCUGCCAUCUGUACCUUGCACCAUUUUCUUAAGAAAAUGUCACUGUAAGUUAUGGGGAAGAGAUGUUGGUUAAAGCAGACUUUUGCUUUUAAAAAAGCUAAUAAUAAUGAUGAUAAUAAUAAUGAUGAUGUAUAUCUACCCUUUGGAUCUAAUGUACAUUUUUUUAUGCAGCUGUCAAAUUCUCUAUUUAAUCCCUUGGUUUCUCUGUAAAUGUUUUUACUCUCUGUUUGAAUGCUGGGCACAGUUUGUAACGUAUGUACACAACGGUGUUUUUUUCUAUCAAUGUUGACUCUUUUGCACAUUUUUUGAAAUUGUUUAAUUUGUACACUGUUUUAAUACUCUGACCAACUGUUAUGGAGUGUAUGCGGAUUAUGUAUGUGUGCAAUGUACUACUGUUUUGAAUGAGGAUUUUUAGAUUCCGUAUAAAUGUGUGUCCACUUCUGGCUUUACCUUGGUUGAGGAACUCAGGACAUUAGCUUUGCUUACUAGUUCCCCCACAAUAGUCCAAAUCCAGCAACUUGGUUGUACCUGCAGAGCUUUGACACAGAUACUGAACUCUGUGUGAAUAGGGACUUCCCAGUUCACUCCAUGCUAUUUGGGGCUCUUGCCAGUUGACCAGUCAAAUAUGGUCAAGUUGACCAACAACCUACAUCAUGAAUUCAAUGUAACAGUUAACUUGGUUCUGUUUUGUAGCUAGUGCAUUUCUGAAUCCUUGCCCAUUAUUUGGCUGGAAUGCUAGCCAGAUUCCAAAUGCUUUUUCACUGAUGUGCAGAGUGCACACACCCAGCUUCUCAGAAGCAUGGCGUGAACAGGAACAGGGAAGCCACUGCUUAAUAGAGCUUCAAAUAUGUGUCAGAUCCUCUGCGGAGUUUGGAUUGUGGUAAAUGUGUCUAAGAACUUUCCAAAUAUAGGGUACAUAAAAAUGCCUUCUAUGUACUGUCUGUCCUGUUUCCCACAGACCUAUUCCAGUUUCAUUUCUACAUGUUUUUUAAAAAAUUGUUUUUUAAAGGUACUGCAUUUAGUUAGAUGAAUAUAUAAAAGCUUUGAGAGAUAAUUUACUAGAUAAAUAUAUUUUCAGCUGGCUGAUGUUCAGAAAAUAUUUUAUUUUUUGUUUUUAACCAUUCAAAAUGUAUUUGUAUUUCCAAAAUUAGACAUGAAUUGUAUAUUAAAACACUCUGGCUGGAUAAUGGUAUGGUUUGUCUUGUAAGGUUUGUCUCUCUCUCUUUUUUAAGAGCUAAAAAUGUUUCUGUGAUACAGAGAAUAAUAAUACUGUUCUGAAAAGCUGAAGGCAAUCUUUCAAUUUAGAGCUGCUUGAGAAAAUUGAGACACAAAACCAAUCUUAGAAAAGUCAGAUGUUUUUAUUGCCUGUUCUUUUUUGUUACAUUGAAUGUAAUGUUUCCCUCUUGAUCUUAAAGCUUUCCUUAUUUUCUGGUACUGGGAAAAAAUAAAGCAUGUUGAAGGUACUAGCAGAAUACCAAUUUGCCAGCCUAGUUCAUGGCUUGAAAGAUUAUUUGUAUCAUUCUUAAGACUUGCCAACAAAAAAUUCUCAUGUUGGGUAAAUAGCACACUGGUGGAUAUCAAAAACCAACAGUUAGGAAAAGCGGUAUUCUCUCUUUCUCUCUCUCUUUUUUUUAAAGAGCCUACUAAUAGCCUGGUAUGGUGUGGUAUGUUCCAUUGUUCAUGCACAUUUUGACCUUGUCAUAGUCUCAAAAGUGUGCUUGUACAAAAUGUAUAAAAGCAUUUUGAUUUUUUUAAAACAACAACUAUGUAUUUACCUGUCAUUUUUUUGCUGGUAAAUGGCUUUUAUUUUAUUUGGGUUUUUUAUCAAUUAUAAAAAGAAGCCAUGUUUAUAUUCUGUGUUUGACCAAAUUACUUCUGUUUUAUGAAAUUUGUAUAUUGGUGGUACACAUCUUCGUGUAGGAUGAUUGUGCAUGAGGACCUGCAAGAAUUAAUACAAUGAAAGAUUGGAGGUUGGUUUUUUUUCUUCCAAGUUAAUUCUGGAAAGGUUAUGGUGCAAAGGUUUACUGGAUGUAACCUUAUGAGCUUAUGGAAUGACUAUAGAGAAUGGCACUUCUAAGUGUUAAUAAAACAAAUAUUUAUUUCCAC
Podarcis lilfordi (Lilford's wall lizard) is the source of this 5606-nucleotide non-coding RNA. The record is from the annotation of a GenBank genome assembly. NCBI's taxonomy places the organism in Eukaryota, Metazoa, Chordata, Lepidosauria, Squamata, Lacertidae.